GUGGGGAAUCUUGCGCAAUGGGCGAAAGCCAGACGCAGCCAUGCCGCGUGAAUGAUGAAGGUCUUAGGAUUGUAAAAUUCUUUCACCGGGGACGAUAAUGACGGUACCCGGAGAAGAAGCCCCGGCUAACUUCGUGCCAGCAGCCGCGGUAAUACGAAGGGGGCUAGCGUUGCUCGGAAUUACUGGGCGUAAAGGGCGCGUAGGCGGAUCGUUAAGUCAGGGGUGAAAUCCCAGAGCUCAACUCUGGAACUGCCCUUGAUACUGGCGAUCUUGAGUGUGAGAGAGGUAUGUGGAACUCCGAGUGUAGAGGUGAAAUUCGUAGAUAUUCGGAAGAACACCAGUGGCGAAGGCGAUAUACUGGCUCAUUACUGACGCUGAGGCGCGAAAGCGUGGGGAGCAAACAGGAUUAGAAACCCCGGUAGUCC
RNAcentral lists this ribosomal RNA (425 nucleotides) under uncultured bacterium. RNAcentral's name for it is "partial 16S ribosomal RNA". It matches the Rfam family "Bacterial small subunit ribosomal RNA", at positions 354 to 796 of the family's 1533-position model. The record is from RNAcentral.